Molecule: transfer RNA, 90 nt
Filed under: Candidatus Aminicenantota bacterium
Lineage: Bacteria; Candidatus Aminicenantota
Description: tRNA-Ser
Rfam family: tRNA
About the family: Transfer RNA (tRNA) molecules are approximately 80 nucleotides in length. Their secondary structure includes four short double-helical elements and three loops (D, anti-codon, and T loops).
Source: RNAcentral
GGAGGGAUGGCAGAGCGGUCGAAUGCGGCGGUCUUGAAAACCGUUGGCCUUUAACGAGGCCCGUGGGUUCGAAUCCUACUCCCUCCGCCA